RNAcentral lists this ribosomal RNA (1430 nucleotides) under uncultured organism. RNAcentral describes it as "16S ribosomal RNA". It matches the Rfam family "Bacterial small subunit ribosomal RNA". The record is from RNAcentral.
GACGAACGCUGGCGGCGUGCUUAACACAUGCAAGUCGAACGGAAAGGCCCUGCUUUUGUGGGGUGCUCGAGUGGCGAACGGGUGAGUAACACGUGAGUAACCUGCCCUUGACUUUGGGAUAACUUCAGGAAACUGGGGCUAAUACCGGAUAGGAGCUCCUGCUGCAUGGUGGGGGUUGGAAAGUUUCGGCGGUUGGGGAUGGACUCGCGGCUUAUCAGCUUGUUGGUGGGGUAGUGGCUUACCAAGGCUUUGACGGGUAGCCGGCCUGAGAGGGUGACCGGCCACAUUGGGACUGAGAUACGGCCCAGACUCCUACGGGAGGCAGCAGUGGGGAAUAUUGCACAAUGGGCGGAAGCCUGAUGCAGCAACGCCGCGUGCGGGAUGACGGCCUUCGGGUUGUAAACCGCUUUCGCCUGUGACGAAGCGUGAGUGACGGUAAUGGGUAAAGAAGCACCGGCUAACUACGUGCCAGCAGCCGCGGUGAUACGUAGGGUGCGAGCGUUGUCCGGAUUUAUUGGGCGUAAAGGGCUCGUAGGUGGUUGAUCGCGUCGGAAGUGUAAUCUUGGGGCUUAACCCUGAGCGUGCUUUCGAUACGGGUUGACUUGAGGAAGGUAGGGGAGAAUGGAAUUCCUGGUGGAGCGGUGGAAUGCGCAGAUAUCAGGAGGAACACCAGUGGCGAAGGCGGUUCUCUGGGCCUUUCCUGACGCUGAGGAGCGAAAGCGUGGGGAGCGAACAGGCUUAGAUACCCUGGUAGUCCACGCUGUAAACGGUGGGUACUAGGUGUGGGGUCCAUUCCACGGGUUCCGUGCCGUAGCUAACGCUUUAAGUACCCCGCCUGGGGAGUACGGCCGCAAGGCUAAAACUCAAAGGAAUUGACGGGGCCCCGCACAAGCGGCGGAGCAUGCGGAUUAAUUCGAUGCAACGCGUAGAACCUUACCUGGGUUUGACAUGGAUCGGGAGUGCUCAGAGAUGGGUGUGCCUCUUUUGGGGUCGGUUCACAGGUGGUGCAUGGCUGUCGUCAGCUCGUGUCGUGAGACGUUGGGUUAAGUCCCGCAACGAGCGCAACCCUUGUUCACUGUUGCCAGCACGUUAUGGUGGGGACUCAGUGGAGACCGCCGGGGUCAACUCGGAGGAAGGUGGGGAUGACGUCAAGUCAUCAUGCCCCUUAUGUCCAGGGCUUCACGCAUGCUACAAUGGCUGGUACAGAGAGUGGCGAGCCUGUGAGGGUGAGCGAAUCUCGGAAAGCCGGUCUCAGUUCGGAUUGGGGUCUGCAACUCGACCUCAUGAAGUCGGAGUCGCUAGUAAUCGCAGAUCAGCAACGCUGCGGUGAAUACGUUCCCGGGGCUUGUACACACCGCCCGUCAAGUCAUGAAAGUUGGUAACACCCGAAGCCGGUGGCCUAACCGUUGUGGGGGAGCCGUCGAAGGUGG